RNAcentral lists this ribosomal RNA (520 nucleotides) under uncultured Glomus. RNAcentral describes it as "SSU rRNA". It matches the Rfam family "Eukaryotic small subunit ribosomal RNA", at positions 569 to 1092 of the family's 1831-position model. The record is from RNAcentral. Lineage: Eukaryota; Fungi; Glomeromycota; Glomeromycetes; Glomerales; Glomeraceae.
AGCAGCCGCGGUAAUUCCAGCUCCAAUAGCGUAUAUUAAAGUUGCUGCAGUUAAAAAGCUCGUAGUUGAAUUUCGGGACUAAUAUGUUGGUCGUGCCUCGGUACGUACUGAUAUUUUUGGUUUCUCCCUUCUGACGAACCUUGAUGUCAUUAAUUUGGUGUCUUGGGAAAUCAGGACUGUUACUUUGAAAAAAUUAGAGUGUUUAAAGCAGGCUCACGCUUGAAUACAUUAGCAUGGAAUAAUGAAAUAGGACGUUUGAUUCUAUUUUGUUGGUUUCUAGGAUCGACGUAAUGAUUAAUAGGGAUAGUUGGGGGCAUUAGUAUCCAAUUGUCAGAGGUGAAAUUCUUGGAUUUAUUGAAGACUAACUACUGCGAAAGCAUUUGCCAAGGAUGUUUUCAUUAAUCAAGAACGAAAGUUAGGGGAUCGAAGACGAUCAGAUACCGUCGUAGUCUUAACCAUAAACUAUGCCGACUAGGGAUCGGAUGAUGUUAAUUUUUAAUGACUCAUUCGGCGCCUUACG